UUGAUGAAGACAAGGGUAUGACCGGUGAUUACGCUGAGCUACGCUGA
RNAcentral lists this small nucleolar RNA (47 nucleotides) under Pyrobaculum aerophilum str. IM2. RNAcentral's name for it is "PAEsR34". Lineage: Archaea; Thermoproteati; Thermoproteota; Thermoprotei; Thermoproteales; Thermoproteaceae. The record is from RNAcentral.